UAUUGUUCCAUGCCUUUCAACACAAGUGUCUGGACACGGCUCAGCCAGUCAGAAGGGAACUGUAAUGGGAAUCCUUCGGAGUCUUGGAGCUUUAGCUCGAGCACUGGGCCCAUUGUGGCUUCUUCAGUGUACUGGUUGGCUGGAGCAGAAUUAUGUUUUAUAAUCAGUUCAGCGUUCUUUAUAGUCCCUCUGGUUUUACUGAGUCGGCUGAGGAGACAGAAGGAGGAAUGAGAUUGAGAGUUUAAGGAUUCACUCUUGUGUCAUAAGAGGGUCAGACCCACUGAUCUAUAAUAGAGAGUCUUUCCAUAUAGAUCAGUGGUCAGACCUCUUUUUCCUUUCUGAAAGCAUUAAAGCCCACUGAAGAAAGUUCCUCUAAGUAAAGUGUUUACAAGGGGGAAAAAAUAUUAAAAAGUACUUGUGCUUAUGAAAUUGGUUUAUUUCACUGUUAAAAAACAACAGACUGUACAUAGUAAAACAGUAUUUUAUGAAUGUAUUUUUACAACACUUAAUCAACAGAUACAAAUGUUUGUGCUACUUGUCAGUGGGUGCUACUGUUUUAUAAGAAUGACAUUAUAUAUUUGGUUAAUAUUGCUGCAUAUACA
Sinocyclocheilus rhinocerous is the source of this 602-nucleotide long non-coding RNA. RefSeq lists it as uncharacterized. The record is from RefSeq and is a predicted model, not a curated record. The transcript has 3 exons. NCBI's taxonomy places the organism in Eukaryota, Metazoa, Chordata, Actinopteri, Cypriniformes, Cyprinidae.